GCAGAAACAAAACCCCUUAGAAUAAGAAACUGAAAGACAACUUACCUCACAGUACCAAAUUCACUAAUCCUGUGCUGAUUUAUAUUUCUGGAUUAAUUGCAGUGAAUAAGGAGCAUCACACCGGUGUAAAACUCAUGUGAAGGAUCAAGCCCAGAGGGAACAGAGGAGCUGCAAUGCAGGAGCCAGUCCUCCCUGAGCAACAUUUAAGUAAAGGAAGAAGAGCUUCCAGAGCUAACUAAGAGUUAACUGGCUACGUUUCAACUGUCACCAUUGUCUUACAUCUACAUAGAGAGCAGGAGAGAGUCUGAGAGAUUGUCCCGCUCUCAGGUGGAUGAUUGCUCUUCAGCAUUUGGCCAAGGUCAGGCAGGUACUUAGCGCUUCUGAAAUGCAAGCUCAAGGCAGGUGGUGUUGAACAUCUAAGUUUGGAGAAGUCUUUCUGGAGACCUGAUGGAAAUUAUUUGCUCGAUAUUAGUCAUAAGGUAUGUGCUCAGUGGUCAAUGCAACUGUUAGAAGGUGGCUUCCCUCACACUGUGUGAAAGUCCCUCUCCGAUAUCCCAGGUUUCUCCCCAGUUUUG
RNAcentral lists this long non-coding RNA (575 nucleotides) under Calidris pugnax (ruff). Its description in RNAcentral is "lncRNA (ENSCPUG00000003511.1)". The record is from RNAcentral. Lineage: Eukaryota; Metazoa; Chordata; Aves; Charadriiformes; Scolopacidae.